GACGAACGCUGGCGGCGUGCUUAACACAUGCCAGUCGAACGGAAAGGCCCUGCUUGCAGGGUACUCGAGUGGCGAACGGGUGAGUAACACGUGGGUGAUCUGCCCUGCACUUCGGGAUAAGCCUGGGAAACUGGGUCUAAUACCGGAUAGGAGCCAUUUUUAGUGUGAUGGUUGGAAAGUUUUUUCGGUGUAGGAUGAGCUCGCGGCCUAUCAGCUUGUUGGUGGGGUAAUGGCCUACCAAGGCGGCGACGGGUAGCCGGCCUGGGAGGGUGGACGGCCAAUUGGGAACGGGGAUCGGGCCCGACCCCCUCGGGAGGGCAGAGUUGGGGAAAAUUCAACAAGGGCGCAAGCCUGAUGCAGCGACGCCGCGUGGGGGAUGACGGCCUUCGGGUUGUAAACUCCUUUCGCUAGGGACGAAGCUUUUUGUGACGGUACCUAGAUAAGAAGCACCGGCGAACUACGU
Molecule: ribosomal RNA, 463 nt
Filed under: uncultured bacterium
Lineage: Bacteria
Description: partial 16S ribosomal RNA
Rfam family: Bacterial small subunit ribosomal RNA
Source: RNAcentral